Molecule: long non-coding RNA, 181 nt
Filed under: Mustela putorius furo (domestic ferret)
Lineage: Eukaryota; Metazoa; Chordata; Mammalia; Carnivora; Mustelidae
Description: lncRNA (ENSMPUG00000028466.1)
Source: RNAcentral
UGAGGCUGGUGAUGCAGUAAUUGCUCAGUACUUUGAAGCAAGAUGUCUUUAUCUCAAAUCAUGGGUCUCUCAUUUAUGAUCAUUUCAGGUGUUUACAGACUUCACCUGGCCAGCAUGAAUGCCCCUGCAUUCAAAAUACAGCAAAGCCUUCCAUUCUUGAAGCCCAGAAGCCAUUCCUGGG